UACCUGGGGCGAGCCUGAUCAGCCAUGCCGCGUGUGUGAAGAAGGUCUUCGGAUUGUAAAGCACUUUAAGUUGGGAGGAAGGGCAUUAACCUAAUACGUUAGUGUUUUGACGUUACCGACAGAAUAAGCACCGGCUAACUUCGUGCCAGCAGGCGCGGUAAU
Molecule: ribosomal RNA, 162 nt
Filed under: uncultured bacterium
Lineage: Bacteria
Description: partial 16S ribosomal RNA
Rfam family: Bacterial small subunit ribosomal RNA
Source: RNAcentral